RNAcentral lists this ribosomal RNA (748 nucleotides) under uncultured bacterium. Its description in RNAcentral is "bacterial SSU rRNA". It matches the Rfam family "Bacterial small subunit ribosomal RNA", at positions 56 to 847 of the family's 1533-position model. The record is from RNAcentral.
GGCAAGUCGAACGAAGCCUUCGGGCUUAGUGGCGGACGGGUGAGUAACGCGUGAGAAUCUCCCUUCAGGAUGGGGACAACCGUUGGAAACGACGGCUAAUCCCCAAUGUGCCGAGAGGUGAAAGGGUUUCCGCCUGAAGAAGAGCUCGCGUCCGAUUAGUUAGUUGGUGAGGUAAGAGCUCACCAAGGCAGCGAUCGGUAGCUGGUCUGAGAGGAUGAGCAGCCACACUGGGACUGAGACACGGCCCAGACUCCUACGGGAGGCAGCAGUGGGGAAUUUUCCGCAAUGGGCGAAAGCCUGACGGAGCAACGCCGCGUGUGGGAAGAAGGCUCUUGGGCUGUCAACCACUUUUCUCAGGGAAGAAGUUCUGACGGUACCUGAGGAAUCAGCCUCGGCUAACUCCGUGCCAGCAGCCGCGGUAAUACGGAGGAGGCAAGCGUUAUCCGGAAUUAUUGGGCGUAAAGCGUCCGCAGGGGGCGCAUCAAGUCUGCUGUUAAAGGCUGGAGCUUAACUCCGGUAGAGCAGUGGAAACUGGUGCGCUAGAGGGCGACAGGGGUAGAGGGAAUUCCCAGUGUAGCGGUGAAAUGCGUAGAGAUUGGGAAGAACACCGGUGGCGAAAGCGCUCUACUGGGUCGCACCUGACCCUCAGGGACGAAAGCUAAGGUAGCGAAAGGGAUUAGAUACCCCUGUAGUCUUAGCCGUAAACGAUGGAUACUAGGGCGUGGCUUGUAUCGACCCAAGCCGUGCC